AUUGAACGCUAGCGGGAUGCCUUACACAUGCAAGUCGAACGGAGUGGCGAACGGGUGAGUAAUGUAUCGGAACGUGCCCAGUAGCGGGGGAUAACUACGCGAAAGCGUAGCUAAUACCGCAUACUAUUGGAGCGGCCGAUAUCGGAUUAGCUAGUUGGGGGGGUAACGGCUCACCCAGGCUACGGUCCGUAGCGGGUAUGAGAGGACGACCAGCCAAACUGGGAGUGAGACACGGCCCGGACUCCGACGGGAGGCAGCAGGGGGGAAUUUUGGACAAUGGGGGAAUCCCUGAUCCAGCCAUCCCGCGUGUGCGAUGAAGGCUUUCGGGUGGUAAAGCACUUUUGGCAGGAAAGCGGUACCUGCAGAAUAAGCACCGGCUAACUACGUGCCAGCAGCCGCGGUAAUUC
Molecule: ribosomal RNA, 407 nt
Filed under: uncultured bacterium
Lineage: Bacteria
Description: partial 16S ribosomal RNA
Rfam family: Bacterial small subunit ribosomal RNA
Source: RNAcentral